This 253-nucleotide ribosomal RNA is filed under the name uncultured bacterium. RNAcentral's name for it is "partial 16S ribosomal RNA". It matches the Rfam family "Bacterial small subunit ribosomal RNA", at positions 524 to 776 of the family's 1533-position model. The record is from RNAcentral.
UACGUAGGGUGCAAGCGUUAAUCGGAAUUGCUGGGCGUAAAGCGUGCGCAGGCGGUUGUGCAAGUCAGGGGUGAAAUCCCCGGGCUUAACCUGGGAAUGGCAUUUGUGACUGCACGGCUAGAGUGUGUCAGAGGGGGGUAGAAUUCCACGUGUAGCAGUGAAAUGCGUAGAUAUGUGGAGGAAUACCGAUGGCGAAGGCAGCCCCCUGGGAUAACACUGACGCUCAUGCACGAAAGCGUGGGGAGCAAACAGG